This is a non-coding RNA of Cinara cedri, 371 nucleotides long. NCBI's taxonomy places the organism in Eukaryota, Metazoa, Arthropoda, Insecta, Hemiptera, Aphididae. The record is from the annotation of a GenBank genome assembly.
GCAUGAUUACAAUAUGUAAAUACGGAUAGAUAUAUUUACACAAAAAUAAAUACAAGAAUUUCAAAAGAGAUGAGUGCGACCCGGGUAGGUCGUAUGGAUACAGAUGACUAAUACAUGUAACAGAGCCGCGGCGGGUCGCCGUCGGUUGGUGACGACGCACCCGAAGCGGCCGAGAGAUACAAGGGGGAAGGACGGGCGGCGGUGAAAAGAUCAAUAAUCAUGUUGUAUUAUUGGAUCUAGUAUGCCUUGUACGGGGCUGGUUUGUAGGCGGGUGCUGGGUAAGCGGGUGCUGGGUAAGCUGGUGCUGGGUAAGCUGGUUUGUAGGCCGGGGCGGCUUUGUAGGCUGGGGCAGCUGGGGCGUAAGCCGGGGU